UACGAAGGUCCCGAGCGUUGUUCGGAAUCACUGGGCGUAAAGGGAGCGUAGGCGGCGCGGUAAGUCAGAUGUGAAAUCCCGGGGCUCAACCCCGGAACUGCAUCCGAUACUGCCGUGCUAGAGUAAUGGAGAGGUAGCUGGAAUUCUUGGUGUAGCAGUGAAAUGCGUAGAGAUCAAGAGGAACACUCGUGGCGAAAGCGAGCUACUGGACAUUUACUGACGCUGAGGCUCGAAGGCUAGGGUAGCGAAAGGG
This 253-nucleotide ribosomal RNA is filed under the name uncultured bacterium. Its description in RNAcentral is "partial 16S ribosomal RNA". It matches the Rfam family "Bacterial small subunit ribosomal RNA", at positions 524 to 776 of the family's 1533-position model. The record is from RNAcentral.